GGGUGUGUAGCUCAAUGGUAGAGCAUUAGGCUUUUAACCUACUGGUUGCAGGUUCAAAUCCUGCCAUACCUA
Micromonas sp. is the source of this 72-nucleotide transfer RNA. It matches the Rfam family "tRNA". Rfam says of the family: Transfer RNA (tRNA) molecules are approximately 80 nucleotides in length. Their secondary structure includes four short double-helical elements and three loops (D, anti-codon, and T loops). NCBI's taxonomy places the organism in Eukaryota, Viridiplantae, Chlorophyta, Mamiellophyceae, Mamiellales, Mamiellaceae. The record is from Rfam.